This 71-nucleotide transfer RNA is filed under the name Telmatobius vellardi (Vellard's water frog). RNAcentral describes it as "tRNA-Ile". It matches the Rfam family "tRNA". Rfam says of the family: Transfer RNA (tRNA) molecules are approximately 80 nucleotides in length. Their secondary structure includes four short double-helical elements and three loops (D, anti-codon, and T loops). Lineage: Eukaryota; Metazoa; Chordata; Amphibia; Anura; Ceratophryidae. RNAcentral also lists the same sequence under 2 other names. The record is from RNAcentral.
GGAAAUGUGCCCGAAAGAUAAGGACCUCCCUGAUAAAGAGGACCAUGGGGGUCCAAGUCCCCCCACUUCCA